This 32-nucleotide non-coding RNA is filed under the name Rattus norvegicus (Norway rat). Lineage: Eukaryota; Metazoa; Chordata; Mammalia; Rodentia; Muridae. The record is from RNAcentral.
UCCUAGAUGGCAUUAGAGAAACCCAAAGGAGC